AGCCUAAGCCUAAAAGCCUAAGCCUAGGAAUAAAACCAGAGGCUAAGCCUAAGCCUACACCUAAGCCUAAGCCUUAAUCUCAGCCUAAGCCUAAGCCUAAGCCUAAAAGCCUAAGCCUAAGCCUAAGGCUAAGCCUAAGCCUAAAAGCCUAAGCCUAGGAAUAAAACCAGAGGCUAAGCCUAAGCCUACACCU
This is a non-coding RNA of Caenorhabditis elegans, 193 nucleotides long. The record is from Ensembl. NCBI's taxonomy places the organism in Eukaryota, Metazoa, Nematoda, Chromadorea, Rhabditida, Rhabditidae.